AGCGUACACGGUGGAUGCCCUGGCAGUCAGAGGCGAUGAAGGACGUGCUAAUCUGCGAUAAGCGUCGGUAAGGUGAUAUGAACCGUUAUAACCGGCGAUUUCCGAAUGGGGAAACCCAGUGUGUUUCGACACACUAUCAUUAACUGAAUCCAUAGGUUAAUGAGGCGAACCGGGGGAACUGAAACAUCUAAGUACCCCGAGGAAAAGAAAUCAACCGAGAUUCCCCCAGUAGCGGCGAGCGAACGGGGAGCAGCCCAGAGCCUGAAUCAGUGUGUGUGUUAGUGGAAGCGUCUGGAAAGGCGCGCGAUACAGGGUGACAGCCCCGUACACAAAAAUGCACAUGCUGUGAGCUCGAUGAGUAGGGCGGGACACGUGGUAUCCUGUCUGAAUAUGGGGGGACCAUCCUCCAAGGCUAAAUACUCCUGACUGACCGAUAGUGAACCAGUACCGUGAGGGAAAGGCGAAAAGAACCCCGGCGAGGGGAGUGAAAAAGAACCUGAAACCGUGUACGUACAAGCAGUGGGAGCACGCUUAGGCGUGUGACUGCGUACCUUUUGUAUAAUGGGUCAGCGACUUAUAUUCUGUAGCAAGGUUAACCGAAUAGGGGAGCCGAAGGGAAACCGAGUCUUAACUGGGCGUUAAGUUGCAGGGUAUAGACCCGAAACCCGGUGAUCUAGCCAUGGGCAGGUUGAAGGUUGGGUAACACUAACUGGAGGACCGAACCGACUAAUGUUGAAAAAUUAGCGGAUGACUUGUGGCUGGGGGUGAAAGGCCAAUCAAACCGGGAGAUAGCUGGUUCUCCCCGAAAGCUAUUUAGGUAGCGCCUCGUGAAUUCAUCUCCGGGGGUAGAGCACUGUUUCGGCAAGGGGGUCAUCCCGACUUACCAACCCGAUGCAAACUGCGAAUACCGGAGAAUGUUAUCACGGGAGACACACGGCGGGUGCUAACGUCCGUCGUGAAGAGGGAAACAACCCAGACCGCCAGCUAAGGUCCCAAAGUCAUGGUUAAGUGGGAAACGAUGUGGGAAGGCCCAGACAGCCAGGAUGUUGGCUUAGAAGCAGCCAUCAUUUAAAGAAAGCGUAAUAGCUCACUGGUCGAGUCGGCCUGCGCGGAAGAUGUAACGGGGCUAAACCAUGCACCGAAGCUGCGGCAGCGACACUAUGUGUUGUUGGGUAGGGGAGCGUUCUGUAAGCCUGUGAAGGUGUACUGUGAGGUAUGCUGGAGGUAUCAGAAGUGCGAAUGCUGACAUAAGUAACGAUAAAGCGGGUGAAAAGCCCGCUCGCCGGAAGACCAAGGGUUCCUGUCCAACGUUAAUCGGGGCAGGGUGAGUCGACCCCUAAGGCGAGGCCGAAAGGCGUAGUCGAUGGGAAACAGGUUAAUAUUCCUGUACUUGGUGUUACUGCGAAGGGGGGACGGAGAAGGCUAUGUUGGCCGGGCGACGGUUGUCCCGGUUUAAGCGUGUAGGCUGGUUUUCCAGGCAAAUCCGGAAAAUCAAGGCUGAGGCGUGAUGACGAGGCACUACGGUGCUGAAGCAACAAAUGCCCUGCUUCCAGGAAAAGCCUCUAAGCAUCAGGUAACAUCAAAUCGUACCCCAAACCGACACAGGUGGUCAGGUAGAGAAUACCAAGGCGCUUGAGAGAACUCGGGUGAAGGAACUAGGCAAAAUGGUGCCGUAACUUCGGGAGAAGGCACGCUGAUAUGUAGGUGAAGUCCCUCGCGGAUGGAGCUGAAAUCAGUCGAAGAUACCAGCUGGCUGCAACUGUUUAUUAAAAACACAGCACUGUGCAAACACGAAAGUGGACGUAUACGGUGUGACGCCUGCCCGGUGCCGGAAGGUUAAUUGAUGGGGUCAGCGCAAGCGAAGCUCUUGAUCGAAGCCCCGGUAAACGGCGGCCGUAACUAUAACGGUCCUAAGGUAGCGAAAUUCCUUGUCGGGUAAGUUCCGACCUGCACGAAUGGCGUAAUGAUGGCCAGGCUGUCUCCACCCGAGACUCAGUGAAAUUGAACUCGCUGUGAAGAUGCAGUGUACCCGCGGCAAGACGGAAAGACCCCGUGAACCUUUACUAUAGCUUGACACUGAACAUUGAGCCUUGAUGUGUAGGAUAGGUGGGAGGCUUUGAAGUGUGGACGCCAGUCUGCAUGGAGCCGACCUUGAAAUACCACCCUUUAAUGUUUGAUGUUCUAACGUUGACCCGUAAUCCGGGUUGCGGACAGUGUCUGGUGGGUAGUUUGACUGGGGCGGUCUCCUCCUAAAGAGUAACGGAGGAGCACGAAGGUUGGCUAAUCCUGGUCGGACAUCAGGAGGUUAGUGCAAUGGCAUAAGCCAGCUUGACUGCGAGCGUGACGGCGCGAGCAGGUGCGAAAGCAGGUCAUAGUGAUCCGGUGGUUCUGAAUGGAAGGGCCAUCGCUCAACGGAUAAAAGGUACUCCGGGGAUAACAGGCUGAUACCGCCCAAGAGUUCAUAUCGACGGCGGUGUUUGGCACCUCGAUGUCGGCUCAUCACAUCCUGGGGCUGAAGUAGGUCCCAAGGGUAUGGCUGUUCGCCAUUUAAAGUGGUACGCGAGCUGGGUUUAGAACGUCGUGAGACAGUUCGGUCCCUAUCUGCCGUGGGCGCUGGAGAAUUGAGGGGGGCUGCUCCUAGUACGAGAGGACCGGAGUGGACGCAUCACUGGUGUUCGGGUUGUCAUGCCAAUGGCACUGCCCGGUAGCUAAAUGCGGAAGAGAUAAGUGCUGAAAGCAUCUAAGCACGAAACUUGCCCCGAGAUGAGUUCUCCCUGACUCCUUGA
Molecule: ribosomal RNA, 2786 nt
Filed under: Escherichia coli
Lineage: Bacteria; Pseudomonadati; Pseudomonadota; Gammaproteobacteria; Enterobacterales; Enterobacteriaceae
Description: bacterial LSU rRNA
Rfam family: Bacterial large subunit ribosomal RNA
Source: RNAcentral